RNAcentral lists this ribosomal RNA (467 nucleotides) under uncultured bacterium. RNAcentral describes it as "partial 16S ribosomal RNA". It matches the Rfam family "Bacterial small subunit ribosomal RNA", at positions 28 to 507 of the family's 1533-position model. The record is from RNAcentral.
GAUGAACGCUGGCGGCGUGCUUAACACAUGCAAGUCGAACGGAAAGGCCCAAGCUUGCUUGGGUACUCGAGUGGCGAACGGGUGAGUAACACGUGGGUGAUCUGCCCUGCACUUCGGGAUAAGCCUGGGAAACUGGGUCUAAUACCGGAUAGGACGAUGGUUUGGAUGCCAUUGUGGAAAGUUUUUUCGGUGUGGGAUGAGCUCGCGGCCUAUCAGCUUGUUGGUGGGGUAAUGGCCUACCAAGGCGUCGACGGGUAGCCGGCCUGGGAGGGUGUACGGCCACAUUGGGACUGAGAUACGGCCCAGACUCCUACGGGAGGCAGCAGUGGGGAAUAUUGCACAAUGGGCGCAAGCCUGAUGCAGCGACGCCGCGUGGGGGAUGACGGCCUUCGGGUUGUAAACUCCUUUCGCUAGGGACGAAGCGUUUUGUGACGGUACCUGGAGAAGAAGCACCGGCUAACUACGUG